RNAcentral lists this ribosomal RNA (259 nucleotides) under uncultured bacterium. Its description in RNAcentral is "partial 16S ribosomal RNA". It matches the Rfam family "Bacterial small subunit ribosomal RNA", at positions 96 to 354 of the family's 1533-position model. The record is from RNAcentral.
UGGCGGACGGGUGAGUAACGCGUGGGCAACCUGGCCUGUACAGGGGGAUAACACUUAGGAAAUAGGUGCUAAUACCGCAUAACGGGAGAAGCCGCAUGGCGUUUUUCCUGAAAACUCCGGUGGUACAGGAUGGGCCCGCGUCUGAUUAGCCAGUUGGCAGGGUAACGGCCUACCAAAGCGACGAUCAGUAGCCGGCCUGAGAGGGCGGACGGCCACACUGGGACUGAGACACGGCCCAGACUCCUACGGGAGGCAGCAG